CCUGACACGGGGGAACCGUCGUGGAAGGAGAAGCCGGCGGAGGCAGAGUCAGUCACGAUGGAAGGCGCGCUAUUCGCCUGGCGAAGCGGAAGGAACGAAACCGAGAAGGAAACAACUGAAAUCAGGUUACGUCACUCGGGGAAUGAAAACGCUACCCUCGGCAGCACCCACACGACAGUCGGCCGCGACGACAAAAGAAAGGAAGGAAGGAAGGAAGGAAGGAAGGACCGUCGCAGGACGAACGGCGAGCCGGGGGCGGGGGCGGUGCCGUUGAUACUUACCGCAUUUUUUCGUCAUUAUCCGUCGCCGUUGCCGUUGGAGGGAUAAGAUCAGCGAGCCGCUGAGACGGAGGCCCGGGAUCCGCCGCGGGAGGCUGCGGAUUAUUACACGCACAAUAGGCGUCGCGGGAAGUCGAAGGUGAGAUGGAGUCUAAUCUUUUUGUAAAAGUCAAA
Long non-coding RNA from Harpegnathos saltator (Jerdon's jumping ant), 452 nucleotides. RefSeq lists it as uncharacterized. Lineage: Eukaryota; Metazoa; Arthropoda; Insecta; Hymenoptera; Formicidae. The transcript is spliced from 4 exons. The record is from RefSeq and is a predicted model, not a curated record.